RNAcentral lists this ribosomal RNA (1294 nucleotides) under Myrmekiaphila jenkinsi. Its description in RNAcentral is "partial 16S large subunit ribosomal RNA". Lineage: Eukaryota; Metazoa; Arthropoda; Arachnida; Araneae; Euctenizidae. The record is from RNAcentral.
UCAGAGGAAUUUGUCUUUUAAUCGUCAUUACCCGUUUAUUUUCACUUUCUUUCAUUUUCUAUAUCACCGUCUUAAGAUUAAAAUCUGAAGUUUAAUCUUAAACUCUUUUGGUAAGUCAGGUCAAGGUGGAGAUUAUAAGGAAGGCUAGAUUAAUUAUUAAUAAACUAUAUUUAAAGUCGUUUCUCUAAAGGGAUUCUAAAUUAAGAUUUGAAAGUAGUUUUCUAUUAAAAAUUUAAAACGAACUUUGUCUUAGGUGUACAUAUCGCCCGUCACCCUCGUCCAAAGAUGAGGUAAGUCGUAACAUAGUUAGUGUACUGGAAAGUGUACUAAGGGGAAUUAAAAGCUUUAGCGUUUCAUUUACACAGAAAAGUAUGUUUAUAAAAUUUUACUAUCGUUUAUUACUUAAAAUAAUAUUUAUAAAAUUUCAAUUCUAGUUUCUUAUUCGUUACCGUAGGGGCCAACUUAUUAUCUUUAAGAAAUUUUUAUUAUUACCUUUUGUAUCAGGGUGUUUCAAACCUUAUCUUGAAAAAGAUUCUCCCGAAAUAAAAUGAGCUACUUAAUUUAGUAUACUUUAUAGCAAAAAAAUAGAAAAAAUUUAGUAGAAGUGAAAUUCUAUUCGUAUUUUCAUAUCUGGUUUUUUCAGAGAGUACAAUUACUUUUAUCUAAAAAGGGAUAAUCUUUUUUAGUAAUUCUCCUCUCUUCCCCUUAAUCUUUAUAGGAUUAGUAGUGUCCUUUAGUGUAAAAACUGUCUAUAUUUUUACUCUUAAUUAUAUAAUGAAAUUUUUAUCUUUUUAUAAAAAUAAUGAUUCAAUUAGUAAAGAUCAAUUUCAAUUAUUCAAUUUAUUAGUCUUAUUAAAAUAUAUCUUUAAAUUUUUAUUCAUAAACUCAGCUAAGUUUUCUGUCUGUUUACCAAAAACAUUUCUGAAUGUGAUUUCUUUUCAGUAAGGCCUGCUCAAUGAACUUUCAAUAGCCGCAAUUACGUGCUAAGGUAGCAUAAUCACUUGCCUUUUAAUUUGAGGCUAGAAUGAAAGGUUUAACAUGAUAACUUCUUUAUAAAUGUAAAUUCUUAAAUUUUACUUAUAAGUAAAAAGGCUUAUAUUCACAAGGGGGACGACAAGACCCUGACGAGCUUAACUUUAUUAGUUGCACUGGGGUGGUAGAAAACUAAAUCUUUUUAUUCUAUUUCUAUUUAUCCUAAAUAUAAGAUUUACAAGUUACCGCAGGGAUAACAGCAUAAUUUUUUUCUAGAGACCUUAUCUAAAAGAAAGAUUGUGACCUCGAUGUUGAAUUAAUU